RNAcentral lists this long non-coding RNA (221 nucleotides) under Elaeis guineensis (African oil palm). RNAcentral's name for it is "long non-coding RNA (EGUI_LNC069600)". The record is from RNAcentral. Lineage: Eukaryota; Viridiplantae; Streptophyta; Magnoliopsida; Arecales; Arecaceae.
AGAUCACCAUGAUGACUUACAAGCAACUCACUGUACUUUGAUGUCAGACUAUCUGUAUUUCUAAUACAGUGACAGAAGAUUUUUUAGCAUAGUCAAAUACUUGUGAAGUCUAUGUGUGAGUUAAGAUGUGAUUGACCGCUUCUGAUUUCAGGAGUUAAUGCUACAAUGUGUUUCAAUUUAGUAAAACCUUGGCCAAGAUAAUCCGUAUGAGGAGUCACAGG